This 455-nucleotide ribosomal RNA is filed under the name Thermoanaerobacterium thermosaccharolyticum. Its description in RNAcentral is "bacterial SSU rRNA". It matches the Rfam family "Bacterial small subunit ribosomal RNA", at positions 127 to 595 of the family's 1533-position model. The record is from RNAcentral. Lineage: Bacteria; Bacillati; Bacillota; Clostridia; Thermoanaerobacterales; Thermoanaerobacteraceae.
UACCCUGUAGACUGGGAUAACACCUCGAAAGGGGUGCUAAUACCGGAUAAUGUCGAGAAGCGGCAUCGCUUUUCGAAGAAAGGAGGGAAUCCGCUAUAGGAGGAGUCCGCGUCCCAUUAGCUAGUUGGUGAGGGUAACGGCCCACCAAGGCGACGAUGGGUAGCCGGCCUGAGAGGGUGAACGGCCACACUGGAACUGAGACACGGUCCAGACUCCUACGGGAGGCAGCAGUGGGGAAUAUUGUGCAAUGGGGGAAACCCUGACACAGCGACGCCGCGUGAGUGAAGAAGGCCUUCGGGUCGUAAAGCUCAAUAGUAUGGGAAGAAAGAAAUGACGGUACCAUACGAAAGCCCCGGCUAACUACGUGCCAGCAGCCGCGGUAAUACGUAGGGGGCGAGCGUUGUCCGGAAUUACUGGGCGUAAAGAGCACGUAGGCGGCUAUAAAAGUCAGAUGU